UACAGUGAUCAGGUUACGAUGGAU
RNAcentral lists this non-coding RNA (24 nucleotides) under Xenopus tropicalis (tropical clawed frog). Lineage: Eukaryota; Metazoa; Chordata; Amphibia; Anura; Pipidae. The record is from RNAcentral.